This 496-nucleotide ribosomal RNA is filed under the name uncultured bacterium. Its description in RNAcentral is "partial 16S ribosomal RNA". It matches the Rfam family "Bacterial small subunit ribosomal RNA", at positions 899 to 1397 of the family's 1533-position model. The record is from RNAcentral.
ACUCAAAUGAAUAGACGGGGGCCCGCACAAGCAGUGGAGUAUGUGGUUUAAUUCGAAGCAACGCGAAGAACCUUACCAGGACUUGACAUACCUCUGACGCAUCUAGAGAUAGGUGUUCCCUUCGGGGCAGAGGAUACAGGUGGUGCAUGGUUGUCGUCAGCUCGUGUCGUGAGAUGUUGGGUUAAGUCCCGCAACGAGCGCAACCCCUGUUGUUAGUUGCCAUCAUUUAGUUGGGCACUCUAGCGAGACUGCCGGUGACAAAUCGGAGGAAGGUGGGGACGACGUCAAAUCAUCAUGCCCCUUAUGUCCUGGGCUACACACGUACUACAAUGGCUAUUACAGCAGGAUGCGAAACCGUAAGGUGGAGCCAAUCCCUAAAAAUAGCCCCAGUUCAGAUUGUGGGCUGAAACUCGCCCACAUGAAGUCGGAAUUGCUAGUAAUUGCAGGUCAGCAUACUGCAGUGAAUACGUUCCCGGGCCUUGCACACACCGCCCGU